Molecule: ribosomal RNA, 504 nt
Filed under: uncultured bacterium
Lineage: Bacteria
Description: partial 16S ribosomal RNA
Rfam family: Bacterial small subunit ribosomal RNA
Source: RNAcentral
GAUGAACGCUAGCGGCAGGCUUAAUACAUGCAAGUCGAGGGGCAGCAUGAGUGUAGCAAUACAUUUGAUGGCGACCGGCAAACGGGUGCGGAACACGUACAGAACCUUCCCUCGAGCGGGGAAUAGCCCAGAGAAAUUUGGAUUAAUACCCCAUUGUAAUACGGAGGGGCAUCACUUUGUAAUUAAAGAUUUAUCACUUGAAGAUGGCUGUGCGGCUGAUUAUGUAGUUGGCGGGUUAAUGGACCACCAAGCCUGCGAUCAGUAACUGGUGUGAGAGCACGACCAGUCACGAGGGCGCUGAGACAAGGGCCCGACUCCUACGGGAGGCAGCGGUAAGGAAUAUUGGUCAAUGGACGAGAGUCUGAACCAGCCAUGCCGCGUGGAGGAUGAAGGUCCUCUGGAUUGUAAACUUCUUUUAUAUGGGACGAAAAAAGGCUUUUCUAAGUCGUCUGACGGUACCAUAUGAAUAAGCACCGGCUAACUCCGUGCCAGCAGCCGCGGUAA